ACGGAGAGAUGGAGUCGAAAGCGCUGCGGGGAAUGUGGGUUGGCGAGGCCGGCCCGACGCUGGGAGCCGAAGGGGAACCGCCGGGCACGGAGCCCGGGGUCUCUCUAACCCCGCACCCCGCACCUGGCGAGCCUGCAGGACCCCGCGGGCCCGGGAGCGGCCCGGCCUGACCCACCUGCCCGAGGCCUGGUCGCCAGGAAAGGCUCCACCGAGGGCUCCGUCCAGUCCCGGGCGUUAAAUGAGUGCAAUAAGAGGGGGACCAAACCUUCACAGGCAAAACCUAGUGGCUUGUCACGGGGGCAACUUGCCAUGAAAUCUGUAGAGCGCCACGACUCACCCACCCGGGCCAGCAGCUGGGGCUCUGGCAGCUGUAGACAGAGACCAAAUAUGGAAAGAUGACGGAGUGGGAAACCAGGAGAAGAAGCCGGUAUGAUUCCCUUAGAAGUCAAUGAAGAACCUGCCUUCCCACGGAAGAAGCAGGAUACUCACCUCACCUGACCUGCACCCUGGUCAGCAUGCUCCGUGGCCACUGUGCUGGUGAGGUCCCUGUUCUCUCUGGAGGCUCAGCAAGACCCAGGCCAAGAGACAGACAUCAAGCCUGACCGUCCGGGAUGACAAAGUUCAGUGUCUGCUUCUCCUUAAGCCAAGAGCCCAGGAAGCAGCCAAGGAGCAGCGCCCAGGGGCCUCCAUGGAGGAGACAGCUCAG
Molecule: long non-coding RNA, 706 nt
Organism: Sorex araneus (European shrew)
Lineage: Eukaryota; Metazoa; Chordata; Mammalia; Eulipotyphla; Soricidae
Exons: 3
Source: RefSeq, a predicted model, not a curated record